RNAcentral lists this long non-coding RNA (470 nucleotides) under Elaeis guineensis (African oil palm). Its description in RNAcentral is "long non-coding RNA (EGUI_LNC016890)". The record is from RNAcentral. Lineage: Eukaryota; Viridiplantae; Streptophyta; Magnoliopsida; Arecales; Arecaceae.
GGUUCAUAAUUAUUCAUUAAAUUUCUUACUACAUGCAAUGCACAUGUGGAGACCUAGAAAGCUUUUGAUCAUAAGCUGAGACAUGAAGCAGUUUGGAUAUGUCAUGAUUGAUGAAGCUAAAUUUUAAAGACUAUUUGGUCUCUAUUAAUUCUCAUAAUUUACCACAUCUCAACAUCGAGCCACUUAAAGUUACAACAGUUUUGUUGGAUCUUCCCGGGAUUGUGUCUCAUGCAUGCAAAGUAAAUCAUGAGUCAACUGAGUUGAAUUGGGAUCCAAUCAUAAAAUCAACAUAUGAGUUGGUACAAGUUAAAAGAGUGUGAACCUAAUUUUAGAACAAGUUUUUCCAUUCACAAGGGCCACAUAUGUUAUAGCUUCAAUUUAGUACAAACCAAUCGGAUAUAUUGCCACCUUCUGAGCCUUUUUAUCAUUCCAAACAUUGGUUUCCAUCAUGUGGUCCAACUCCACAUGUC